Molecule: ribosomal RNA, 22 nt
Filed under: Xanthomonas campestris
Lineage: Bacteria; Pseudomonadati; Pseudomonadota; Gammaproteobacteria; Lysobacterales; Lysobacteraceae
Description: partial 16S ribosomal RNA
Source: RNAcentral
UGCGGCUGGAUCACCUCCUUUU